AAAAGAUCUAGAGAGAAAAAAAAAGGGAGCGCGCCUCGUCUCCACCUCUCCCCCCACACGCCGCCUCCUCAUCUCCGCCCCCCCUCUGGUCGCCUCGGCUCCUACCCGGCCGGCUCGUCGCAGCAGCGGCCCGCAGAAAGCUGCGGUGGUCGGCAGUGGAGAAGCAGCAUCGGACGACGGCGGCGGACCAGAUCGGCGAGUCACAGGAGAGGACACGAUGGCCGUCACGGGCAGAGCAGAGCGAACCCGACGCGGCGGCCGGCGCCAUCUGGAGAACUGCUGGCCGGUGGUGCGCGAUCUGGGCGAUUUGGAGGCGAGGCAACACCGUUGACCAGGACGCCGUCGAAAUUCUCAUCAUGCCGCUGGGAGAGGGGCUCGUCGAGGAUCCCCUCGACUCGACGGAUCCGCGAUGGAGGUGCUUGAGGAGGGGCUUCUUCUCCGGACUCCAUGGAGAUCGUAAAGAACUCUUGCAGGCACCCUUGUCAUUGCAAAAAUCAAGAGAAGCUAUGAAGGGGCCUACAUCGUAAUGAAGAGGGGCAGGGUGCAAAAGGAAGCGUGCCUUUUCUUGAUCUCUUAAAUAUAACCAUGGGAGCGGAAGAGUGGAUAUGGGAAAGUGGCAAACACAAGUGCUAUGAAUCUGUUGUUGCACUAAUAUCAUAUCAUCCUAAAUGCGAAAUCCAGCUAAAUGAACUAAAUUUCUCAUAUCGAAGGAGUCAAGAAGGGAAGUUACCCAAUAUUAUGUUAGGCACUUUGUCAUGGUUCGUCCUCGUAAGCUUUUAUACAUGGCCAUUGUUGACUGUUGCAAGACGCGAACCAUAUUACUGUUGCAAGAAAGAAUUCACUUAGGAUAUUAUCAUCGGGUUUGAAGGAAAGAUGUUGCAUGGCCGUCUUGUUUCAGUUAUGUCCUGGUAGUGAUUCGGAGGGCACCGGCAUUAAAGGAUCGAGGCUUCUUCUUGUGUCCGUACGAAAGAGAAGUUGUACCGAUUGCCAUUGGAAGGAGCGGGGCACAGGAUUAUUUGGUGUAGCAAGAAUGAUAGAGUUCUAGGCCGGAGCAAACAAAUGGACAGGGAAAUAGCUGCCUUAUGAACCAAAACUGAAUACUGAAAUAAGGAUUUUUGAGAGUUCAGAUGAGAUAGUAACAGAUCUGGCUGAGUAUAUUUCACAAGUUUCAGAAAUCUCUAUUAAAGAAAGUGGAUACUUCGCUAUUGUCAUGUCUGGAGCGCCACUUGUCAGUUUUUUGGGGUUAAUGAUUUUUUUUCUAUUCUUUGCUAGCUAUUUGCCAUAUUUGUUUUUGCACGCGAAUUUAAUACAGUGUGCAUUAUUGCAUCUGAAGUAUCCUGUUUUUAAUUUUUGAAAAGGAAACUUAGUGAAGUGACGUAUAUAUCCUGCUCUGAUGAACGUGAUGUAGCAAAGAACCAUGCAGAUAGUAAAUAUAAGUUACUCCUUGAUAAGAAAGGUUAGUUUUAAAUAUGUGGUCAUUGGGAGUUAAGAAAAUGUGGCAGAUUUUUUCUUCAGAUUAUGCGCUUUGCAUGGUCAUCUAUCUGUUGCGAUGUCUGCAUUCUAAAAUCAUAUUUAGAUGAUGUGAUUACUUCAGAUAUUUGGUGCUGGUGACUGGUCGCAUUUCGUAUCUAUUGGUGGCUGAUCAUCAGAUUUUCUAAGUCUUCUCGUUGCUUACCCAAAAAAAUCGUACGAAGAGUAGUCAGAUUUAGUGUGGCAGUUCUUGUGCAACAUUCCUGUAAAUAUACUGGCAGAGUUCCUUCCAUGCCUCCCAGCUUCUGUUUCAUCUGACAAGCAUCAAGAUAUACAUUUUUGACCAUGGAGCGUCGAUCAAGAUAUCGUAACUGCUUAUGUAAAAUAGUUCCUGAAGAGAAACUUAAGCAGGCUGUAUUCACUUGGAUCGAAGAAAUAGGCGCAAAGUUGUGUUCUCUGACGAGGUAUCUUGGGGCUUUGCCAGCUGCCAGUGCUAUGAAUAUCAUCUGCUGCAUCAUUGCUAGCUUUCCUAUGUUUGGGUUGUUUCUGCCAUCAACUGGUUCUGAAUAAUUGUUUUAUGUAACACUUGCUUGGAUAUGGUUCAUACAUUCUAACUUCUGAGAAAAGCUAAUAUGUUUUUGCAUUAUGGCAACUUCUCUUUCAUAAAGGAAGGCCAAUUUAUUCAUGUUUGAUAUGCAUUCAUACAUAGAAGGCAUUGGACCCAUGAGCCUUACUGCCAUUGAUAAAUGAUACCAUGUAGUGAUAUGUUCACACAAGCUGACCAAACACAAGCUAGCAAAAAAGAGCAGAGAAGGGGCGCACACAACCUGGCACCGCGCAUAGCACCCCUCAGGAUCGGAUGUAUGGGAGGUGCGACAUGAUUUUGCAAGUACAGACAGAAAAAUGCAGUAUGUUUGAUUAUUUUAUUAUUGUACCUUUCCUUUUUCUGUUCAGGUGGAUCUAAAUAUAUUCCAGACAGAGGAAUUAUUUAGGGACUAAAGUGGAAAAGCUAUGGGGAACUUGUGUGUUACUGGCGCCAGCAGCUGAUCAAAGCGGGAACAGAGCCAGAAGGCCGUCGAGGCACCACCUUCAGGCAACCUUGGAGUCGUCGCAGACAACCUUCAAGUGUAGCAUCGAAGUUGAUACAAGACAAGGGGGAAGGCCCAAAUCAGCAGGCAGAUGUGCCGGCUGCUGCGACUGGCAGUGCUCUGGGCGCGCAAGGGUAGCGCGGUACUCCUGGUCAAGACACUGCAGCACAACCGUGGGCCGCGGCCGCAGGCGCAACGAUUGGCUGCACUAUGGCGGACAGGGAUUCUCAACCGACGAGACGCCGGCGAGCGUUGGCUUCGUGGGGCUGGCGGAGAGUGAUGGGGAUGCCGGAGUGGACGUGAAGACGGACAUUGGUUGUUUAUUUACUGAUGAAUUUGGUUCACUUUUGGAUAAGCCAUGCAUCAGCUAUACAUGUAUGUGUGCUAUAAAUCAGCACUAAAACCAUUGGAAAGGGCGGGAGCUUACCUGGCACCGCACAGCUGCCGUUUGAGGCGGCGCGCCAUGGGCGCGCCCCAACCGCUAGUAUUAUUCAACCAGCACCUGAACUGGCAUACAUAAGACGUCGGGGGUAUCUAAGAGCCACAAAUGGCGCCCCAAAUCAAGAUUAACAGCGGCCUUCGCGAGUUCAUGUGCCUCCCAGUUUUUCUUUCUUCUUUCAUGACUGAACUGAACAGCAGCAAACUCCUCCGUCUUCUUAAGAAAAAGGGUUUUCCCC
RNAcentral lists this ribosomal RNA (3235 nucleotides) under Triticum aestivum (bread wheat). RNAcentral's name for it is "partial small subunit ribosomal RNA". Lineage: Eukaryota; Viridiplantae; Streptophyta; Magnoliopsida; Poales; Poaceae. The record is from RNAcentral.